AGCAGCCGCGGUAAUUCCAGCUCCAAUAGCGUAUAUUAAAGUUGUUGCAGUUAAAAAGCUCGUAGUUGAAUUUCGGGGUCAGUAGGCUGGUCGUGCCACAGGUAUGUACUGGUCUUACUGAUUCCUCCUUCCUGAUGAACCGUAAUGCCAUUAAUUUGGUGUUGCGGGGAAUCUGGACUGUUACUUUGAAAAAAUUAGAGUGUUUAAAGCAGGCUAACGCUUGAAUACAUUAGCAUGGAAUAAUGAAAUAGGACGAUCGAUCCUAUUUUGUUGGUUUCUAGGAUUGACGUAAUGAUUAAUAGGGAUAGUUGGGGGCAUUAGUAUUCAAUUGUCAGAGGUGAAAUUCUUGGAUUUAUUGAAGACUAACUACUGCGAAAGCAUUUGCCAAGGAUGUUUUCAUUAAUCAAGAACGAAAGUUAGGGGAUCGAAGACGAUCAGAUACCGUCGUAGUCUUAACCAUAAACUAUGCCGACUAGGGAUCGGAUGAUGUUAAUUUUUAAUGA
Molecule: ribosomal RNA, 503 nt
Filed under: uncultured Glomus
Lineage: Eukaryota; Fungi; Glomeromycota; Glomeromycetes; Glomerales; Glomeraceae
Description: SSU rRNA
Rfam family: Eukaryotic small subunit ribosomal RNA
Source: RNAcentral